Acyrthosiphon pisum (pea aphid) is the source of this 1152-nucleotide long non-coding RNA. RefSeq lists it as uncharacterized. NCBI's taxonomy places the organism in Eukaryota, Metazoa, Arthropoda, Insecta, Hemiptera, Aphididae. The record is from RefSeq and is a predicted model, not a curated record. The transcript is spliced from 6 exons.
UCUACUAAAAAUUGUUUUAAACUUUAAAGAUUUUAAUUAGCUGGGUAUAAUUGUAGUUCAAAAAUAUUACUUCAGUAUAGUUUUUAUUCAUAUUGCCUAAACUCAAUUUAUUUCACCUGUACUUACAAAAUACUCAUGCAUAAUUUUUAAAUAUUAUUCUAAAUUGGUCCACUUGAUAAAGUCAUCAGUGUAACAAAGAAAUCACAUUAUAUAAGGAUGGACAAAGAGACUAUUAAAAGCAUGUACUGAACUUGUCACAAUCAAUGGUAUGCCAUUAAUAAUAUUUAAAGAUUCCGGCAUGCAAAAAAUUUUUAAACCCACAACACAAUCAAUUGGAAAUGAUUUUUCUAUUGACCCACUAAAUGUAAGGGUACAUGUUAUGGAUGAAGCAGAAAAAAUCAUGAACACUAUAAAAAAAAAACGAUAUAAAAAAUUGUCCAAUAUCAUAUAAAGAACAAAUUAGUUAUAAGGACAUUGGCUAUGUCUAAUUUGGAAAAACGUCACACCAGCGAUUACUUAAAAUCUGUGAUUGGUCCACUUGAUAAAGUCAUCAGUGUAACAAAGAAAUCACAUUAUAUAAGGAUGGACAAAGAGACUAUUAAAAGCAUGUACUGAACUUGUCACAAUCAAUGGUAUGCCAUUAAUAAUAUUUAUAGAUUCCGGCAUGCGAAAAAUUUUGAAACCCACAACACAAUCAAUUGGAAAUGAUUUUUCUAUUGACCCACUAAAUGUAAAGGUACAUGUUAUGGAUGAAGCAGAAAAAAUCAUGAACACUAUAAAAAAAAACGAUAUAAAAAAUUGUCCAAUAUCAUAUAAAGAACAAAUUAGUUAUAAGGACAUUGGCUAUGUCUAAUUUGGAAAAACGUCACACCAGCGAUUACUUAAAAUCUGUGAUUGGUCCACUUGAUAAAGUCAUCAGUGUAACAAAGAAAUCACAUUAUAUAAGGAUGGACAAAGAGACUAUUAAAAGCAUGUACUGAACUUGUCACAAUCAAUGGUAUGCCAUUAAUAAUAUUUAUAGAUUCCGGCAUGCGAAAAAUUUUGAAACCCACAACACAAUCAAUUGGAAAUGAUUUUUCUAUUGACCCACUAAAUGUAAGGGUACAUGUUAUGGAUGAAGCAGAAAAAAUCAUGAACACUAUAAAAAAAAAC